UGGGGAAUAUUGCACAAUGGGCGCAAGCCUGAUGCAGCCAUGCCGCGUGUAUGAAGAAGGCCUUCGGGUUGUAAAGUACUUUCAGCGGGGAGGAAGGGAGUAAAGUUAAUACCUUUGCUCAUUGACGUUACCCGCAGAAGAAGCACCGGCUAACUCCGUGCCAGCAGCCGCGGUAAUACGGAGGGUGCAAGCGUUAAUCGGAAUUACUGGGCGUAAAGCGCACGCAGGCGGUUUGUUAAGUCAGAUGUGAAAUCCUCGGGCUCAACCUGGGAACUGCAUCUGAUACUGGCAAGCUUGAGUCUCGUAGAGGGGGGUAGAAUUCCAGGUGUGGCGGUGAAAUGCGUAGAGAUCUGGGGGAAUACCGGUGGCGAAGGCGGCCCCCUGGACGAAGACUGACGCUCAGGUGCGAAAGCGGGGGGAGCAAACAGG
This 429-nucleotide ribosomal RNA is filed under the name Chloroflexota bacterium. RNAcentral describes it as "Chloroflexi bacterium partial 16S ribosomal RNA". It matches the Rfam family "Bacterial small subunit ribosomal RNA", at positions 355 to 776 of the family's 1533-position model. Lineage: Bacteria; Bacillati; Chloroflexota. The record is from RNAcentral.